UACGUAGGUGGCAAGCGUUGUCCGGAAUUAUUGGGCGUAAAGCGCGCGCAGGUGGUUUCUUAAGUCUGAUGUAAAAGGCAGUGGCUCAACCAUUGUGUGCAUUGGAAACUGUUAGACUUGAGUGCAGUAGAGGAGAGUGGAAUUCCAUGUGUAGCGGUGAAAUGCGUAGAUAUAUGGAGGAACACCGGUGGCGAAAGCGGCUCUCUGGACUGUAACUGACACUGAGGCUCGAAAGCGUGGGUAGCAAACAGG
Molecule: ribosomal RNA, 252 nt
Filed under: uncultured microorganism
Description: partial 16S ribosomal RNA
Rfam family: Bacterial small subunit ribosomal RNA
Source: RNAcentral